UCUCGCGUCAGGAUAUGCUAGGUGGGAUUAGCUAGUUGUGAGUAAGGGCUCGCCAAGGCGACGAUCCCUAGCUGGUCUGAGAGGAUGAUCAGCCACACUGGAACUGAGACACGGUCCAGACUCCUACGGGAGCAGCAGUGGGGAAUAUUGCACAAUGGGCGCAAGCCUGAUGCAGCCAUCCGCGUGUGUGAAGAAGGCCUUCGGGUUGUAAAGCACUUUCAGUCGUGAGGAAGGUAGUGUAGUUAAUAGCUGCAUUAUUUGACGUUAGCGACAGAAGAAGCACCGGCUAACUCCGUGCCAGCAGCCGCGGUAAUACGGAGGGUGCGAGCGUUAAUCGGAAUUACUGGGCGUAAAGCGCAUGCAGGUGGUUUGUUAAGUCAGAUGUGAAAGCCCGGGGCUCAACCUCGGAAUAGCAUUUGAAACUGGCAGACUAGAGUACUGUAGAGGGGGGUAGAAUUUCA
RNAcentral lists this ribosomal RNA (461 nucleotides) under Vibrio alginolyticus. Its description in RNAcentral is "bacterial SSU rRNA". It matches the Rfam family "Bacterial small subunit ribosomal RNA", at positions 213 to 671 of the family's 1533-position model. Lineage: Bacteria; Pseudomonadati; Pseudomonadota; Gammaproteobacteria; Vibrionales; Vibrionaceae. The record is from RNAcentral.